GACGAACGCUGGCGGCGUGCCUAAUACAUGCAAGUAGAACGCUGAAGGAAGGAGCUUGCUCUUUCUGGAUGAGUUGCGAACGGGUGAGCAACGCGUAGGUAACCUGCCUGGUAGCGGGGGAUAACUAUUGGAAACGAUAGCUAAUACCGCAUAAAAUUGAUUAUUGCAUGAUAGUCAAUUAAAAGGUGCAACUGCACCACUACCAGAUGGACCUGCGUUGUAUUAGCUAGUUGGUGGGGUAACGGCUCACCAAGGCGACGAUACAUAGCCGACCUGAGAGGGUGAUCGGCCACACUGGGACUGAGACACGGCCCAGACUCCUACGGGAGGCAGCAGUAGGGAAUCUUCGGCAAUGGACGGAAGUCUGACCGAGCAACGCCGCGUGAGUGAAGAAGGUUUUCGGAUCGUAAAGCUCUGUUGUAAGAGAAGAACGAGUGUGAGAGUGGAAAGUUCACAAUGUGACGGUAUCUUACCAGAAAGGGACGGCUAACUACGUG
This 497-nucleotide ribosomal RNA is filed under the name uncultured bacterium. RNAcentral describes it as "partial 16S ribosomal RNA". It matches the Rfam family "Bacterial small subunit ribosomal RNA", at positions 28 to 507 of the family's 1533-position model. The record is from RNAcentral.